Artibeus jamaicensis (Jamaican fruit-eating bat) is the source of this 2250-nucleotide long non-coding RNA. RefSeq lists it as uncharacterized. The record is from RefSeq and is a predicted model, not a curated record. The transcript is spliced from 4 exons. Lineage: Eukaryota; Metazoa; Chordata; Mammalia; Chiroptera; Phyllostomidae.
GGUUAGGUAGCCGCUUAGUCAAAAAUAGCUCUCAUGCUGACUCCAGCCCACAGAACAGCAUCCAGGCAAAGUGGGCACAGAUGCACCAGAGCUGGGCACUCGUGGGGAAAUCCCCUUCUUGGUCCUCACCACUGGAAAAUCAUUCAAGAAUGUACAUGGGACUCCAGGGCUGCUGACAGGUGAUGCCCCGUGCUGUCUGGCAGCAGAAAUGUGGCUAUCUCGCUGACGCACAGAAACCAAGGAACCACAGGGAAAUCCAGCGCAAACAUUAAAAGCUUUGUUGAUCUCAUCUCCUCCAAUGAUCUCAGAACUCCUGAAGGAUACUUCCCAAAUCUGGCUUAUCUCCGUGCCCCAGAGUCCAGAGCAGGACUUCAGGUUGCUGACAGCAAUGAGUUAGAUCACUGGUCUGAGAGCUUCUUUCUCAGUGCAGACAUUUCAGCCCCAUCAGUUGCCUCUACCACGCGUGCUGCUGUUCGGGUGCUGUUGCGGGGACUGCGCCCAUCGCAGCCUCCCCACCCAACCCUGAAGGGGCUGCAGUCAAAUCACCAGGUCUUCACACUGCCAGGCACCUGAGGUACCUGUUAGUAUUCUCAGGAAAGCUGAAGAGAGCAGGGUUGGGUCCAUGAUGCUCUGCUGAGCCCAUGCUGUUGUACCCAUGAUGCUCUGCUGCUGUGCCCAUAAUGCUCUGCUGUGCCCUCUGUACCUUGCCUUGCCUCUUCCCCUGGUCUCUGCAGUUCUGGCUGUUCCAGGAGGCAAGGCGAUUCCACCCCAUAUAAAGCGGUCCUGGGGUGGCCUACUGACCUGGAUUCUCCUCUCAGUAUCUUGACUCCAGCCGCCUCCUCUGCCAGACUCCACAUGGCCCAGAUGAUUUCUCCUGCACACGGGAGAAGGAAUCAGAGCAUCUCACAGUCAGGGUGGAGGCCCCAGGGAAGACACCCAUCCGAGGCAUGUUUGCGAAGACUGAUCCGGUUUCAGCCCAUCGUUGUGCAGAUGGGGAAUCUGAGUCUCAGAGUGGAGAUUUAUCCAAAUGUGAGUUCAGUGCCAGAGUAGGACUCCAGCCUGGCUUCCAAUGCAGGGCUUAUUUUAGGGAAGGUUCCCAAAAUGCCCACAUACCAUCAGAGCUACUCCUUCAUGUUGAGAUCUUGAAUCUUCAAAAUAUCCUUCAGAGGAGCUGGUUUUUAGUAUAGAAAUCAAAGAGCAAGUUACAUUUUACUUUAUUUACUGCAAAAACAAAAUUGUAACAAGUGAAAAUACUAAGAGAAGUUAUUUCUACCGCCCCAGUCACAUUUCAUUUGCUCACAUCAUGGCACUCUAACGCGCACACUUCGCAUGUGCGAUUAUACACAGAGCUGUAGUCGUGCACAAACACUGUAUAAUCUUGCUUCGCUUAACGUUGAGCAUGUUUUCCUGGACAUUUGCCAUGUAGCUUUCUACCUUCCACAGAGUAUUUCAUCACACACACCUAUAUCUUCACUGUUCUUAUAAACUACUUCGAAUGCACAGAAAAGCAAAAGGAACAAUACACUACACAGAUUUAGCAAAUAUGACUAUUUACAGAUAUUUUGGGGAGUUUUUAAACAAUGAAACAUUGCCGGCACUAUUGGAGUGCUCUUCUGUACAAUGCACUGUAAUUCUCCCAGGACAAACUACAUCACUUGCCAGGCCCAGUGGAAAAUGAAAAUGCAGGGAAGUGUUCAGAAAUCAUUAUGAAUUUCAAGACGAUGACGGCAGAGCACUUAGCCCAGCACAGGCCCUUCUGAGUGCAGGGCCCAUGUGGCUGCACAGGUGUCCCCCCCGCCCCCCGUCCCAAAGGCAGCCCCGGCUCCCCUUGUGCUCUGACUUACCUAGUACUGAGCUGUGUCUCCGUGGCCCCAGCUCUAUGCUUUUCCUUGUAUGCACAUAUUGACCAACAUUAUGGAGUGUUAUUUUUUAUUUCUAAAAGAUUUUAUGUAUUUAUUCUUAGAGAGAGGGGAAGGGAGGGAGAAAGAGGGGGAGAAAAACAUCAAUUGGUUGCCUCUUGUACAUACUCCGAUUCGGGACUGGGCCUGCAGUUCAGGUGGGUCAGGGCAUUAUGGAGUGUUAUUUUCUGCAUUUAAAAAUAUUGCCUAAGUGACGUUAAUACCGUAUGUGUCCUAAGGCUGCUUGCUUAUUUCACUUAUUCUUUUGUAAUUCUCUGUGCAGAUGCGUAGAUUUUAUUGAUUUCCACUACUGUCUAGUACUCCAGUGUGUGCCUUCACCACAGUUCGUGUU